GAUGAACGCUGGCGGCGUGCCUAAUACAUGCAAGUCGAGCGAACGGACGAGAAGCUUGCUUCUCUGAUGUUAGCGGCGGACGGGUGAGUAACACGUGGAUAACCUACCUAUAAGACUGGGAUAACUUCGGGAAACCGGAGCUAAUACCGGAUAAUAUUUUGAACCGCAUGGUUCAAAAGUGAAAGACGGUCUUGCUGUCACUUAUAGAUGGAUCCGCGCUGCAUUAGCUAGUUGGUAAGGUAACGGCUUACCAAGGCAACGAUGCAUAGCCGACCUGAGAGGGUGAUCGGCCACACUGGAACUGAGACACGGUCCAGACGCCUAAGGGAGGCAGCAGUAGGGAAUCUUCCGCAAUGGGCGAAAGCCUGACGGAGCAACGCCGCGUGAGUGAUGAAGGUCUUCGGAGCGUAAAACUCUGUUAUUAGGGAAGAACAUAUGUGUAAGUAACUGUGCACAGCUUGACGGUAACUAAUCAGAAAGCCACGGCUAACUACGUG
This 497-nucleotide ribosomal RNA is filed under the name uncultured bacterium. Its description in RNAcentral is "partial 16S ribosomal RNA". It matches the Rfam family "Bacterial small subunit ribosomal RNA", at positions 28 to 507 of the family's 1533-position model. The record is from RNAcentral.